RNAcentral lists this ribosomal RNA (551 nucleotides) under uncultured Trichococcus sp. Its description in RNAcentral is "bacterial SSU rRNA". It matches the Rfam family "Bacterial small subunit ribosomal RNA", at positions 68 to 610 of the family's 1533-position model. Lineage: Bacteria; Bacillati; Bacillota; Bacilli; Lactobacillales; Carnobacteriaceae. The record is from RNAcentral.
UUGCUUCCACUGGGAAGAUAGUGGCGAACGGGUGAGUAACACGUGGGUAACCUGCCCAUAAGAGGGGGAUAACAUCCGGAAACGGGUGCUAAUACCGCAUAGUUUUCUUGAUCGCAUGAUUGAGAAAGGAAAGACGGCCUUUGUGCUGUCGCUUAUGGAUGGACCCGCGGCGUAUUAGUUAGUUGGUGAGGUAAUGGCUCACCAAGACGAUGAUACGUAGCCGACCUGAGAGGGUGAUCGGCCACAUUGGGACUGAGACACGGCCCAAACUCCUACGGGAGGCAGCAGUAGGGAAUCUUCCGCAAUGGACGAAAGUCUGACGGAGCAACGCCGCGUGAGUGAAGAAGGUUUUCGGAUCGUAAAACUCUGUUGUCAGAGAAGAACAAGUCGGAGAGUAACUGCUCCGGCCUUGACGGUAUCUGACCAGAAAGCCACGGCUAACUACGUGCCAGCAGCCGCGGUAAUACGUAGGUGGCAAGCGUUGUCCGGAUUUAUUGGGCGUAAAGCGAGCGCAGGCGGUUCCUUAAGUCUGAUGUGAAAGCCCACGGCUC